Molecule: transfer RNA, 75 nt
Filed under: bacterium
Lineage: Bacteria
Description: tRNA-Gly
Rfam family: tRNA
About the family: Transfer RNA (tRNA) molecules are approximately 80 nucleotides in length.
Source: RNAcentral
GCGGGUAUCGUAUAAUGGCUAUUAUUCCAGUUUUCCAAACUGGUAAUGGGAGUUCGAUUCUCCCUACCCGCUCCA